GGGUGCAAGCGUUACUCGGAAUCACUGGGCGUAAAGCGCGCGCAGGCGGCUAGAUAAGUUGGAAGUGAAAUCCUAUGGCUCAACCAUAGAACUGCUUCCAAAACUGUUUAGCUAGAGUCUGGGAGGGGAAGAUGGAAUUAGUAGUGUAGGGGUAAAAUCCGUAGAGAUUACUAGGAAUACCAAAAGCGAAGGCGAUCUUCUGGAACAGUACUGACGCUGAGGCGCGAAAGCGUGGGGAGCAAACAGGAUUAGAUACCCUGGUAGUCCACGCCCUAAACGAUGAAUGUUAGUCGUCGGGACUCUAGUAGUUUCGGUGAUGCAGUUAACACAUUAAACAUUCCGCCUGGGGAGUACGGUCGCAAGAUUAAAACUCAAAGGAAUAGACGGGGACCCGCACAAGUGGUGGAGCAUGUGGUUUAAUUCGAAGAUACGCGAAGAACCUUACCUAGCCUUGACAUAUUUUAGAACUCCGCAGAGAUGUAGAGGUGCCUUCGGGAGCUAAUAUACAGGUGCUGCACGGCUGUCGUCAGCUCGUGUCGUGAGAUGUUGGGUUAAGUCCCGCAACGAGCGCAACCCUCGUUCUUAGUUACUAACGGUUCGGCCGAGGACUCUAAGAAGACUGCCUUCGUAAGGAGGAGGAAGGUGAGGACGACGUCAAGUCAUCAUGGCCCUUACGGCUAGGGCAACACACGUGCUACAAUGGUUAGGACAAUGAGACGCAAUACCGCGAGGUGGAGCAAAUCUAUAAACCUAAUCUCAGUUCGGAUUGUAGUCUGCAACUCGACUACAUGAAGCUGGAAUCACUAGUAAUCGUAGAUCAGCUAUGCUACG
RNAcentral lists this ribosomal RNA (831 nucleotides) under uncultured Sulfurovum sp. Its description in RNAcentral is "bacterial SSU rRNA". It matches the Rfam family "Bacterial small subunit ribosomal RNA", at positions 530 to 1361 of the family's 1533-position model. The record is from RNAcentral. Lineage: Bacteria; Pseudomonadati; Campylobacterota; Epsilonproteobacteria; Campylobacterales; Sulfurovaceae.